RNAcentral lists this ribosomal RNA (440 nucleotides) under uncultured bacterium. RNAcentral describes it as "partial 16S ribosomal RNA". It matches the Rfam family "Bacterial small subunit ribosomal RNA", at positions 338 to 795 of the family's 1533-position model. The record is from RNAcentral.
CCUACGGGAGGCUGCAGUGGGGAAUAUUGCACAAUGGGGGAAACCCUGAUGCAGCGACGCCGCGUGAGCGAUGAAGUAUUCCGGUAUGUAAAGCUCUAUCAGCAGGGAAGAAAAUGACGGUACCUGACUAAGAAGCCCCGGCUAACUACGUGCCAGCAGCCGCGGUAAUACGUAGGGGGCAAGCGUUAUCCGGAUUUACUGGGUGGAAAGGGAGCGUAGACGGCUGUGCAAGCCAGAUGUGAAAGCCCGGGGCUCAACCCCGGGACUGCAUUUGGAACUGUGUGGCUGGAGUGUCGGAGAGGCAGGCGGAAUUCCUAGUGUAGCGGUGAAAUGCGUAGAUAUUAGGAGGAACACCAGUGGCGAAGGCGGCCUGCUGGACGAUGACUGACGUUGAGGCUCGAAAGCGUGGGUAGCAAACAGGAUUAGAUACCCCUGUAGUC